UGCAGCGUGGCUCAGUGGAAAGAGCAUGGGCUUGAGACUCAGAGGUCAUGGGUUCAAAUCCCUUCUCUGCCA
Non-coding RNA from Ornithorhynchus anatinus (platypus), 72 nucleotides. NCBI's taxonomy places the organism in Eukaryota, Metazoa, Chordata, Mammalia, Monotremata, Ornithorhynchidae. The record is from Rfam.